AACCGUAGCCCCACUAGUCUGGGAGUACCAACUUGGAAACAAGGUAGCUAAUAACCGGAUAAGAAAGCGGAUCGCAUGAUCAGCUUUUAAAAGGCGGCGUAAGCUGUCGCUAUGGGAUGGCCCCGCGGUGCAUUAGCUAGUUGGUAAGGUAAAGGCUUACCAAGGCGAUGAUGCAUAGCCGAGUUGAGAGACUGAUCGGCCACAUUGGGACUGAGACACGGCCCAAACUCCUACGGGAGGCAGCAGAC
RNAcentral lists this ribosomal RNA (248 nucleotides) under uncultured Lactobacillus sp. RNAcentral's name for it is "partial 16S ribosomal RNA". It matches the Rfam family "Bacterial small subunit ribosomal RNA", at positions 113 to 354 of the family's 1533-position model. The record is from RNAcentral. Lineage: Bacteria; Bacillati; Bacillota; Bacilli; Lactobacillales; Lactobacillaceae.